This is a long non-coding RNA of Canis lupus familiaris (dog), 1204 nucleotides long. RefSeq lists it as uncharacterized. The record is from RefSeq and is a predicted model, not a curated record. The transcript has 2 exons. NCBI's taxonomy places the organism in Eukaryota, Metazoa, Chordata, Mammalia, Carnivora, Canidae.
CACAAAGACAGAUGGAACUCUUUUUCUCAGGGUAUUGGCUCUUCCAUUUCAUAGUUUUAUCAUUUUGAGUGAUAACCCAAAAGGAUAGCUCACCCUAAUGACUGCCUCCAAUGUGAAGUCUCCCUCCACUCAGCUCUAGCAAGGAUGCGGCAACUCUGUUUCAAUUACACAGCUCACUCCUCAGUCUUCCAGUCCAGCUGCUUUUCCAUGUCUGCUCUCCACAGCCGACUGUUAACUCUUUGGGGGCAAUGAACAUAUCUUAUUAUCUCUACAUACCCAUAACACCUGUCAUAGAGUAAUACUUCAGAGCUGGAAAGGAACAAAGAAAUACAACAGAUGCCAACUCCUUUAAUCAUGGAGUCUGAACUCUCUUGUGUUCUAGGCUAUGAUAGAUAACUACAUACCUCGUGUUGUUUUAAUACUUGAUACAAUCUCAUAAGCUACAUAUUUUUAUUUUUAAUUUUAAAGACUGGAAAAUUGGGACUUAAAAGAAGUUGAAGAAAUUAUCCAAUUUCAUACAGCCAGUAAGUGGCAGAGUUGAAAUUCUUGAUGAGUGUAUUUUGCUGCCCCUCUACUUAUUUAAUGUCUAGAAAACCAAAGCCCCAACAGAGAACAGAAUUUUCUUAGUCACUCACAGAGAGAAUAAAGCCAGGUCUAGAAUGCAGAGUAGACUUCAGUUUGCUUUACCAACCACCCCAGUUUCCUUACCUUGAGCAUCAUAGCAGGGGAAGAAAAAAUAUUUUUGGAAUUUCUCGAUCACUUGGGACAGUCAUUGUCAUUCUACAAGUGAAUGGCCUGGCAAAUUUUUGAAAAGAAGUUGGAUGUGUUUUCUUUUCCAAAGAUACCAGUCCAUCAUUUGGCCAGUUUAGCUCACUUUUUGGAUGCUGACUUGCUCUGAGUUCUCUUGAACUCUUCCUUUCUGAUCUCAGACCUCCAACAAACUAUUUUCACCUUGAACUUCCUCAAGUCUGUGGGACUUUCCUCUGAUCCUCCAAUCUGAUUCUGUUACUAUUUCUGGGCAGGCAUUAGAUUUCUCAGAGUUAAUCUGAUGGCUAUUUCCUGGUGAAAAUUCAGUGGUGAUUGCUAACCUCUGUUCUUGGAGGUGGCAGGAAAAUCUCAAGGACCCACAAGUAAUAAAGUACUGGUAUUAUGUAGAGCUCAAUUUCAAACGUGAAAAUAAACUCAGUGAGUCUGAUCACUCAUA